CAGCAGCCACGGGAAUACGAGGGGGGCAAGCGUUGUUCGGAUUUAUUGGGCGUAAAGGGUGCGUAGGCGGUUUGGCAAGUUUGGUGUGAAAUCUUCGGGCUCAACUCGAAGUCUGCAUCGAAAACUGCCGGGCUUGAGUAUGGGAGAGGUGAGUGGAAUUUCCGGUGUAGCGGUGAAAUGCGUAGAUAUCGGAAGGAACACCUGUGGCGAAAGCGGCUCACUGGACCAUUACUGACGCUGAGGCGCGAAAGCUAGGGGAGCAAACAGGAUUAGAUACCCCCGUAGUCCCUGUCUCUUAUAC
RNAcentral lists this ribosomal RNA (301 nucleotides) under uncultured bacterium. RNAcentral's name for it is "partial 16S ribosomal RNA". It matches the Rfam family "Bacterial small subunit ribosomal RNA", at positions 509 to 807 of the family's 1533-position model. The record is from RNAcentral.